AUUGAACGCUGGCGGCAUGCCUAACACAUGCAAGUCGAACGGUAACAGGCCCUUCGGGGUGCUGACGAGUGGCGGACGGGUGAGUAACGCUUAGGAAUCUACCUAGUAGUGGGGGAUAACCCGGGGAAACUCGGGCUAAUACCGCGUACGCCCUACGGGGGAAAGCGGGGGACUUUCGGGCCUCGCGCUAUUAGAUGAGCCUAAGUCCGAUUAGCUAGUUGGUAGGGUAAUGGCCUACCAAGGCGACGAUCGGUAGCGGUCUGAGAGGACGACCAGCCACACUGGGACUGAGACACGGCCCAGACUCCUACGGGAGGCAGCAGUGGGGAUAUUGGACAAUGGGCGCAAGCCUGAUCCAGCGAUGCCGCGUGUGUGAAGAAGGCCUGCGGGUUGUAAAGCACUUUC
Molecule: ribosomal RNA, 405 nt
Filed under: uncultured bacterium
Lineage: Bacteria
Description: bacterial SSU rRNA
Rfam family: Bacterial small subunit ribosomal RNA
Source: RNAcentral